AGUUCCAAAAUGAUAUAGCCUCUCUUCAGAAUGAGCAGCUACUCUCGAUUUCCUGACUUCGGAAAUAGUUGCUUACAAUGUGUAUGAAGAAUCCAGAGGGUGUCUUGCAGCUCCCAAGAACAGGAAGUACAUGCAGAAAGCAGACAGUCGUCAGGGAUCCAGGCGGCUGCUCCCAGGCUCGCUCUCGGACGCUAUGUCUGCAUCUGCUUUGAUCUUCUCUGUAUUACAGACUGGCUUCCUCUGCUCCUUGGACCAUGUGGAAGAAUAAGGCCAAUAGCGGGCAUCACUCUCUCAGUUCUUCUGGUUGACUUAAACAAAGCCAGGCCGGUGGGUUUAGGAUGAUGCCGCCUUCGGAAGAAGAGUGGAAGGCAUAAAUGCAACGUCCUUGCCGUGGCCUUUAAACCCUGGUUGGACUUCAGCUGAAGCCUGUUGCACCUGCUGCCUUUUCCCAGUCUUUUCCCCAGUCUUUUUCCCUUAGAGUCUAAGUUGGGCUUGGGCAGAUUUUCUGAUGAGGAAGCUGAAGCCACGUCACACAUCCAGUCAGAGGGCUCUGAUUGAAACCAGCCAGCUUGAUUCCAGAAUCUGUCCUCUUAGCACAUGGCUCCCCUUCAGCCAGUGCUCGCUACAUGUUUAUUGUAAUUGUGGAUACCGUGCCGAAAGGGAAAAAUACCAUCUCUUUG
Molecule: long non-coding RNA, 680 nt
Organism: Felis catus (domestic cat)
Lineage: Eukaryota; Metazoa; Chordata; Mammalia; Carnivora; Felidae
Exons: 3
Source: RefSeq, a predicted model, not a curated record